Molecule: long non-coding RNA, 321 nt
Filed under: Homo sapiens (human)
Lineage: Eukaryota; Metazoa; Chordata; Mammalia; Primates; Hominidae
Description: HSALNT0342147
Source: RNAcentral
CCUGGCCUCAAGUGAUCCACCUGCCUUGGCCUCUCAAAGUGCUGGGAUUACAGGAGUGAGCCACCCCUCCCAAUCAAGAGACGCAAUCUUUAUUAUCAUCUGUGCUCAGGACUUAAUUCUAGAAAGAAGAGUCAGACCAAUCAACAGCAGACAGACCAGAUGAGUAAAUUACACAGUAUUUUAGGAGGGGAUACAUACUACGGAAAAAGAAAGGGUAGAUCAAGGAAAAAUAUGAAUGAAGAUUCUUUGAGUGAGAUCAAGGCUCAUGGCUUUACAUUGAAAAUGCACAACAGGCCAGGUACAGUGGCUCACGCCUGUAAU